Long non-coding RNA from Andrographis paniculata, 180 nucleotides. RefSeq lists it as uncharacterized. NCBI's taxonomy places the organism in Eukaryota, Viridiplantae, Streptophyta, Magnoliopsida, Lamiales, Acanthaceae. The transcript has 2 exons. The record is from RefSeq and is a predicted model, not a curated record.
CUCCGGUUUGAGGUCGCGGUACACAAUUCCGAGCAUGUGUAGAUAUUCGAGCGCAAGAAGAACCUCAGCAACGUAGAAUCUGCGACAAGAAGAUCGAAGCGAUGAAAUUAAAAAAGAAGCAUGUUCGGGAAAACAUCGCCCGGGCUGCUUCUGCCGGAGGACAUGAAGAUCGCCGCCUGG